ACAGGAUUAGAUACCCUGGUAGUCCACGCCCUAAACGAUGUCUACUAGUUGUCGGGUUUUAAUUAACUUGGUAACGCAGCUAACGCGUGAAGUAGACCGCCUGGGGAGUACGGUCGCAAGAUUAAAACUCAAAGGAAUUGACGGGGACCCGCACAAGCGGUGGAUGAUGUGGAUUAAUUCGAUGCAACGCGAAAAACCUUACCUACCCUUGACAUGUACGGAAGGCCGAAGAGAUUUGGCUGUGCUCGAAAGAGAACCGUAACACAGGUGCUGCAUGGCUGUCGUCAGCUCGUGUCGUGAGAUGUUGGGUUAAGUUCCGCAACGAGCGCAACCCUUGUCAUUAGUUGCUACGAAAGGGCACUCUAAUGAGACUGCCGGUGACAAACCGGAGGAAGGUGGGGAUGACGUCAAGUCCUCAUGGCCCUUAUGGGUAGGGCUUCACACGUCAUACAAUGGUACAUACAGAGCGCCGCCAACCCGCGAGGGGGAGCUAAUCGCAGAAAGUGUAUCGUAGUCCGGAUUGUAGUCUGCAACUCGACUGCAUGAAGUUGGAAUCGCUAGUAAUCGCGGAUCAGCAUGUCGCGGUGAAUACGUUCCCGGGUCUUGUACACACCGCCCGUCACACCAUGGGAGCGGGUUUUACCAGAAGUAGGUAGCUCAACCGCAAGGAGGGCGCUUACCACGGUAGGAUUCGUGACUGGGGUGAAGUCGUAACAAGGUAGCCGUAAAU
Molecule: ribosomal RNA, 730 nt
Filed under: uncultured endophytic bacterium
Lineage: Bacteria
Description: bacterial SSU rRNA
Rfam family: Bacterial small subunit ribosomal RNA
Source: RNAcentral